Molecule: non-coding RNA, 683 nt
Organism: Pelobates cultripes (western spadefoot toad)
Lineage: Eukaryota; Metazoa; Chordata; Amphibia; Anura; Pelobatidae
Source: the annotation of a GenBank genome assembly
AGGCACAGCAUAUGGCCAGGAAGUUGCCAGCCUUUAGGGGGGCCAAAGGGGGCGCACAGCAUGAUGUAGGGAGGGCCUCCCAGUUUUUUACUGGGAGCCCUUCAUUUCCAGUAGAGUAGUGCCUCUAACAAAUAACAGUCUACUCUAAAUUUGAGAAUCUCAUUCUCAUCUAGUCUCUACUCCUUCAAAAAAAUCAUUAAAAACUCACCUUUUCACAAAAGCAUAUCAAUUAAGCUAUUAAUGGCUCCAAAACCCCACACUAAGUCUUCAUUGAAUACUAUUCUACUAUUUUACCAAUCUACUUCCCUAAUAUUUCCCAUACCUUUUGUGUCACUUUACCCUACUCCCUUUAGCAUGUGAGCUCAUUGAGCAGGGCCCUCAACCCCAAUGUUUCUGUGCGUCAAACUUGUCUGGUUACAAUUACAUGUUCGUUAGUGUGGCAAAAGUAACCUCGCCACUGGUACUUGGAGGGGCCUGCUUGCCAGCCUCUUGCCCUAGGAUUAUGGCUCUGCAAAAUGACAUGUUAAAAAGAGACUUCCAUGGAAAAACCAAACCAAAACUGGGUGAUUUUUGGAUAUGUUGCUCACCCAGAUCAGGGCUAUCCGAGGAUGUGACACUUGUGGGGUUUCCAUUGAUCUUGGGGGUACUUUUGGGGUGUUUGUUAAAUGUGUCCCUCCUCAAAC